ACACUUAAUUCUUUUAAUUAAGUAUUUGGGCUGAUGGAUCAGGGUUUGGUAUUUCGAAAAUAAUUUUCAAAUUUGAAAGAUUUUAUUUUCUGUUCACCAAAUAUGUUGACUCAUUUCACAAAUAGAUCAGCAUAUUUCAUAAAUAGCAAUCCUAUUGCUAAUUACAUAAUAGAAAAUAACUCAAUCAAAAUAAAUCAUG
RNAcentral lists this long non-coding RNA (199 nucleotides) under Elaeis guineensis (African oil palm). RNAcentral's name for it is "long non-coding RNA (EGUI_LNC067263)". The record is from RNAcentral. Lineage: Eukaryota; Viridiplantae; Streptophyta; Magnoliopsida; Arecales; Arecaceae.